Molecule: ribosomal RNA, 384 nt
Filed under: uncultured bacterium
Lineage: Bacteria
Description: bacterial SSU rRNA
Rfam family: Bacterial small subunit ribosomal RNA
Source: RNAcentral
AUUGAACGCUGGCGGCAUGCCUUACACAUGCAAGUCGAACGGCAGCACGGGGCAACCUGGUGGCGAGUGGCGAACGGGUGAGUAAUGCAUCGGAACGUGCCAUUGAGUGGGGGAUAACGUAGCGAAAGUUGCGCUAAUACCGCAUAUUCUGUGAGCAGGAAAGCAGGGGACCGCAAGGCCUUGCGCUCUUUGAGCGGCCGAUGUCAUAUUAGCUAGUUGGUGAGGUAACGGCUUACCAAGGCGACGAUCUGUAGCGGGUCUGAGAGGAUGAUCCGCCACACUGGAACUGAGACACGGUCCAGACUCCUACGGGAGGCAGCAGUGGGGAAUUUUGGACAAUGGGCGCAAGCCUGAUCCAGCCAUGCCGCGUGAGUGAAGAAGGCC